RNAcentral lists this ribosomal RNA (510 nucleotides) under Zygogramma heterothecae. RNAcentral's name for it is "partial 16S ribosomal RNA". The stretch from base 383 to 510 matches the Rfam family "Archaeal large subunit ribosomal RNA", at positions 2544 to 2671 of the family's 2987-position model. Lineage: Eukaryota; Metazoa; Arthropoda; Insecta; Coleoptera; Chrysomelidae. The record is from RNAcentral.
GUYUUUUUGUUUAAAAUUUAAAGUCGGGCCUGCCCACUGAAAUUUUAAAUGGCCGUGGUAUUUUGACCGUGCUAAGGUAGCAUAAUCAUUAGUUUUUUAAUUGAAAGCUGGAAUGAAGGGUUUGAUAAAAAAAUAACUGUCUCUAUUUAAUUUUAUUAAAAUUUUAUUUUUAAGUUCAAAAGCUUAAUUAUUGUUAAAAGACGAGAAGACCCUAUAGAGUUUAAUAAUAAAAAAUAAUUUUUAUUUAAGAAUUAAUUUAUUUAUUAUUUUAUAUUAUUUAGUUGGGGUGAUUAAAAAAUUUAAUAAACUUUUUUUAUAUUUAACCAUUAAUUUAUGAUUAUUUGAUCCAAUUUUUUUGAUUAUAAGAUAAAAUUACCUUAGGGAUAACAGCGUAAUUUUUUUAGAAAGUUCAAAUUAAAAGAAAAGAUUGCGACCUCGAUGUUGGAUUAAAAUUUAAUUUUGGUGUAGAAGCUAAAAAUUUUAAGUCUGUUCGACUUUUAAAAUUUUACA